AGUGAACGCUGGCGGUAGGCCUAACACAUGCAAGUCGAACGGCAGCACAGUAAGAGCUUGCUCUUACGGGUGGCGAGUGGCGGACGGGUGAGGAAUACAUCGGAAUCUACUUUUUCGUGGGGGAUAACGUAGGGAAACUUACGCUAAUACCGCAUACGACCUACGGGUGAAAGCAGGGGAUCUUCGGACCUUGCGCGAUUGAAUGAGCCGAUGUCGGAUUAGCUAGUUGGCGGGGUAAAGGCCCACCAAGGCGACGAUCCGUAGCUGGUCUGAGAGGAUGAUCAGCCACACUGGCACUGAGACACGGUCCAGACUCCUACGGGAGGCAGCAGUGGGGAAUAUUGGACAAUGGGCGCAAGCCUGAUCCAGCCAUACCGCGUGGGUGAAGAAGGCCUUCGGGUUGUAAAGCCCUUUUGUUGGGAAAGAAAAGCAGCAGGUUAAUACCCCGCUGUUCUGACGGUACCCAAAGAAUAAGCACCGGCUAACUUUGUG
RNAcentral lists this ribosomal RNA (492 nucleotides) under uncultured bacterium. RNAcentral describes it as "partial 16S ribosomal RNA". It matches the Rfam family "Bacterial small subunit ribosomal RNA", at positions 29 to 507 of the family's 1533-position model. The record is from RNAcentral.